GAUGAACGCUAGCGGCAGGCUUAAUACAUGCAAGUCGAGGGGCAGCAUGACUGUAGCAAUACAGUUGAUGGCGACCGGCAAACGGGUGCGGAACACGUACAGAACCUUCCUUCGAGCGGGGAAUAGCCCAGAGAAAUUUGGAUUAAUACCCCAUAGUACAACGGAGUGGCAUCACUUUGUUGUUAAAGAUUUAUCACUUGAAGAUGGCUGUGCGGCUGAUUAGGUAGUUGGCGGGGUAACGGCCCACCAAGCCUGCGAUCAGUAACUGGUGUGAGAGCACGACCAGUCACACGGGCACUGAGACACGGGCCCGACUCCUACGGGAGGCAGCAGUAAGGAAUAUUGGUCAAUGGACGAAAGUCUGAACCAGCCAUGCCGCGUGGAGGAUGAAGGUCCUCUGGAUUGUAAACUUCUUUUAUAUGGGACGAAAAAAGGGUUUUCUAACUCGUCUGACGGUACCAUAUGAAUAAGCACCGGCUAACUCCGUGCCAGCAGCCGCGGUAAU
RNAcentral lists this ribosomal RNA (505 nucleotides) under uncultured bacterium. Its description in RNAcentral is "bacterial SSU rRNA". It matches the Rfam family "Bacterial small subunit ribosomal RNA", at positions 28 to 524 of the family's 1533-position model. The record is from RNAcentral.